CUGCGGCCUCUAUACAUGCAAGUCGAGCGGACAGAUGGGAGCUUGCUCCCUGAUGUUAGCGGCGGACGGGUGAGUAACACGUGGGUAACCUGCCUGUAAGACUGGGAUAACUCCGGGAAACCGGGGCUAAUACCGGAUGCUUGAUUGAACCGCAUGGUUCAAUUAUAAAAGGUGGCUUUUAGCUACCACUUACAGAUGGACCCGCGGCGCAUUAGCUAGUUGGUGAGGUAACGGCUCACCAAGGCAACAAUGCGUAGCCAACCUGAGAGGGUGAUCGGCCACACUGGGACUGAGACACGGCCCAAACUCCUACGGGAGGCAGCAGUAGGGAAUCUUCCGCAAUGGACAAAAGUCUGACGGAGCAACGCCCCGUGAGUGAUGAAGGUUUUCGGAUCGUAAAACUCUGUUGUUAGGGAAAAACAAGUACCGUUCGAAUAGGGCGGUACCUUGACGGUACCUAACCAGAAAGCCACGGCUAACUACGUGCCACCAGCCGCGGUAAUACGUAGGUGGCAAGC
RNAcentral lists this ribosomal RNA (518 nucleotides) under Bacillus subtilis. RNAcentral's name for it is "bacterial SSU rRNA". It matches the Rfam family "Bacterial small subunit ribosomal RNA", at positions 40 to 539 of the family's 1533-position model. The record is from RNAcentral. Lineage: Bacteria; Bacillati; Bacillota; Bacilli; Caryophanales; Bacillaceae.